RNAcentral lists this ribosomal RNA (484 nucleotides) under uncultured Pseudomonadota bacterium. Its description in RNAcentral is "bacterial SSU rRNA". It matches the Rfam family "Bacterial small subunit ribosomal RNA", at positions 355 to 831 of the family's 1533-position model. The record is from RNAcentral. Lineage: Bacteria; Pseudomonadati; Pseudomonadota.
UGGGGAAUUUUGGACAAUGGGGGCAACCCUGAUCCAGCCAUACCGCGUGAGUGAAGAAGGCCUUCGGGUUGUAAAGCUCUUUCAGCCGGAAAGAAAUCGUGCAGGCUAAUACCCUGUAUGGAUGACGGUACCGGAAGAAGAAGCACCGGCUAACUACGUGCCAGCAGCCGCGGUAAUACGUAGGGUGCGAGCGUUAAUCGGAAUUACUGGGCGUAAAGCGUGCGCAGGCGGUUUUGUAAGACAGGUGUGAAAUCCCCGGGCUUAACCUGGGAACUGCAUUUGUGACUGCAAGGCUAGAGUGCGGCAGAGGGGGGUAGAAUUCCACGUGUAGCAGUGAAAUGCGUAGAGAUGUGGAGGAAUACCGAUGGCGAAGGCAGCCCCCUGGGUCGACACUGACGCUCAUGCACGAAAGCGUGGGGAGCAAACAGGAUUAGAUACCCUGGUAGUCCACGCCCUAAACGAUGUCAACUAGGUGUUGGGGGAA